GAGGAAUAUUGGACAAUGGGCGCAAGCCUGAUCCAGCCAUGCCGCGUGCAGGAUGACGGUCCUAUGGAUUGUAAACUGCUUUUAUACGAGAAGAAACACUCCGACGUGUCGGAGCUUGACGGUAUCGUAAGAAUAAGGAUCGGCUAACUCCGUGCCAGCAGCCGCGGUAAUACGGAGGAUCCAAGCGUUAUCCGGAAUCAUUGGGUUUAAAGGGUCCGUAGGCGGUUUGGUAAGUCAGUGGUGAAAGCCCAUCGCUCAACGGUGGAACGGCCAUUGAUACUGCCAGACUUGAAUUACUGGGAAGUAACUAGAAUAUGUAGUGUAGCGGUGAAAUGCUUAGAGAUUACAUGGAAUACCAAUUGCGAAGGCAGGUUACUACCAGUGGAUUGACGCUGAUGGACGAAAGCGUGGGUAGCGAAC
This 420-nucleotide ribosomal RNA is filed under the name uncultured bacterium. Its description in RNAcentral is "bacterial SSU rRNA". It matches the Rfam family "Bacterial small subunit ribosomal RNA", at positions 356 to 773 of the family's 1533-position model. The record is from RNAcentral.